GUAUACGGAACCGUACCCAGUCGUGGGGGGGUAACUAUCCGAAAGGAUAGCUAAUACCGCAUACGUCCUGAGGGAGAAAGCGGGGGAUCGCAAGACCUCGCGCGAUUGGAGCGGCCGAUAUCGGAUUAGCUAGUUGGUGAGGUAAAGGCUCACCAAGGCGACGAUCCGUAGCUGGUCUGAGAGGACGACCAGCCACACUGGAACUGAGACACGGUCCAGACUCCUACGGGAGGCAGCAGUAGGGAAUAUUGGACAAUGGGCGGAAGCCUGAUCCAGCCAUCCCGCGUGUAGGAAUAAGGCCCUAUGGGUUGUAAACUACUUUUAUUAGGGAAGAAAAACUUUGAUUUAUCAGAGCUUGACGGUACCUAAGGAAUAAGCACCGGCUAACUCCGUG
RNAcentral lists this ribosomal RNA (394 nucleotides) under uncultured bacterium. Its description in RNAcentral is "bacterial SSU rRNA". It matches the Rfam family "Bacterial small subunit ribosomal RNA", at positions 115 to 507 of the family's 1533-position model. The record is from RNAcentral.